This 253-nucleotide ribosomal RNA is filed under the name uncultured prokaryote. RNAcentral describes it as "partial 16S ribosomal RNA". It matches the Rfam family "Bacterial small subunit ribosomal RNA", at positions 525 to 777 of the family's 1533-position model. The record is from RNAcentral.
ACGUAGGUGGCAAGCGUUGUCCGGAUUCACUGGGCGUAAAGCGCGCGCAGGCGGUCUUCUACGUCUGGGGUGAAAACCCGGGGCUCAACCCCGGGACUGCCUUGGAUACGGGAUCGCUUGAGGAUUGGAGAGGCAAGGGGAAUUCCACGUGUAGCGGUGAAAUGCGUAGAUAUGUGGAGGAACACCUGUGGCGAAGGCGCCUUGCUGGCCAAUUUCUGACGCUGAGGCGCGAAAGCGUGGGGAGCAAACAGGA